RNAcentral lists this RNase P RNA (567 nucleotides) under Planctomycetes bacterium RBG_13_44_8b. RNAcentral's name for it is "RNase P RNA component class A". It matches the Rfam family "Bacterial RNase P class A". From Rfam's summary of the family: Ribonuclease P (RNase P) is a ubiquitous endoribonuclease, found in archaea, bacteria and eukarya as well as chloroplasts and mitochondria. The record is from RNAcentral. Lineage: Bacteria; Pseudomonadati; Planctomycetota.
CCGGCGGGUCGGGCGGCCGCCCCGCACCUGCUUUGUAUUCUUGUUAGAAUUGAAACAGAUUUUAAGAGAAUAUGGAGCAGGUGCGGGGAGGAAAGUCCGGGCAGGACAGGGCGCGGUGAUGGCUAACGGCCACCGUAUUUGAGAUUUCAGAUUUGAAAUUUCAGAUAAAGGGAAAGUGCCACAGAAAAUACACAGCCCCGCACCUACUUGGUAUUCUUUUUAGAAUUGAAACAGAUUUUAAGAGAAUAUGGAGUAGGUGUGGGGUAAUGGUGAAAAGGUGCGGUAAGAGCGCACCGCGGUUUUGGCGACAGAACCGGCAGGGUAAACCCCACCGCCUGCAAGACCAAGUAAGCCGGUAUGCUUUGCCCGAGCAUCUGAGAUUUCAAAUCUGAGAUUUGAGAUUUCACAGCCGGCGGGUAGGUCGCUUGAGCCUGUCAGCAAUGGCAGGCCUUAGAGAAAUGGUCGCAUCCCGCACCUACUUGGUAUUCUUUUUAGAAUUGAAACAGAUUUUAAGAGAAUAUGGAGUAGGUGCGGGAACAGAACCCGGCUUAUAGACCCGCCAGGCAA